This is a long non-coding RNA of Perca flavescens (yellow perch), 2159 nucleotides long. RefSeq lists it as uncharacterized. The transcript has 2 exons. Lineage: Eukaryota; Metazoa; Chordata; Actinopteri; Perciformes; Percidae. The record is from RefSeq and is a predicted model, not a curated record.
CUCUGGACCUCUAAACUGUGUCCUUUCUGCACUGGGGCUGCAACAUUAUGAACUAUAAUACAUACACACACACACACACACACACCAAUCACCUUUGCACAAAACACACACAAACAUGACACAUUUUGUUUUUAUUGAUGGUGCAAACCAGUGUUUCCCCCAAGAUUUUUUUUUUAUCAGCAUGGAAAGAUGUGAGAUUUUAGACUUAGAAACUGGAUGUUGGCUGGUCCUCCUUGUCUGUCUGAGAACAGGGGAUACACUAUACAGGGGAUACACUAUACACAAAUGCAUAAUACAAGUUGUUCUAGGACUGAAAAUACACUUGUUUUCACAGUUGUGUUUCCUGAAAAAGCUGGACAAUGAAUCACAACUCAUCAGUGACACUUACGGACCCAUCGUGAUAAUGAUGGCAGGUUCUGGUCAGGACUGUUACCUUCAAUAUUGCGACAUCAGAGCUCUUACAUGAGCACGAAAGUGAUGAAUGUACCAAAUAAGUGACUGAAUGUAUGGACCUCAAGCAACUCUGUUCGUGGGCCCUGAAGAAGAUUCCAGGGAAACACAAAGUGGAGAGUUGGAGGUGGAGGGAAAUCAAACGUGACACGGUAGCUUGAGGAACGAGGACGCGCUUCAUUCGAUGUUGGCACCGGAUUAGGCCUUGUAAACUGAAAGACACUGGCCUGGUGUCACCCAGAUACCUGGUCAGGGAGCAGUGUUGGGAUCUCUUUAGUGCCUCUUGGGUUCCCCUGACCAUAAAGUGAAAUUUCAUAAGGGAAGUGAUUUUAUUUCCUUGUAAAAAAGAUAGCGGUUUAAAUUCCCCAGACAGAUAUCAACACAAGGGGGCAGUAAGGUGUGCUGUCAUUACUCUGGCACCUUCAAAGCAAAGAGCCAGGGAUUUCCUCCUUUGUGAAUGACCUGACCAGGUGUGAUGAAGAUGAUGUUGUCAGGAACAAGCAGCAGCCUUUAGUGCUGUAUGGAUAUUAUACUUUAGAACGUUUGGCAUACAAGUCCAUGCCAGGCAAUAGUUCUGUCUAUAAAGCAUGUGAUAAAACAUUUCUCUAACUCUUAAGCGCACGACCCAAACCCUGAGGACCCUUUCACUCAGUCUCUCACACACUUUCUUACAUGCACACGAAAAUACACACAUACUCGUUUUCUAUGGGGUGCAUGCACGAUUACACCUACUGUACAGAGUCCUGUUGGAGCUACACCACAGGGGCUGGAAUAGUGCUAGUGAGCCCCACAUGUGACGGCGAGAUGUGGAGGCAGACUUUCAUAUCCCAGCCCCCCCUCUCCCAGUCCAAUACUGCAUGCGGGAUCCUCCCGGUCAGCUCUGUGAGCUGUGCUGGAGCAGAAACCCCCCUAGAUGGCGUUGUGUUAUAGCUCGAUAUUGCAUGCUGAAAUAGUGCAACACACUGUCCUUACUAGCUUUUUUUGCAUGAGGAUAUUGCUAUCCAUUCAGAAAAAGGUGUGAGGGAGACAAUUAGGUUGUGUGACUUUGGUUGUGGUGCUCACUUGAGGCAUGCAGCCUUAUGCUUACCUGGCACUGUCAUACCUUGAGUGUUAAGCUCAUGGGAACACUCUGGGAAUGGACAAUGUGCAAAUGCAAUAGUUUGUUUUCUCUAUGACAGUGUAAUGAAGAGUAUCUCGGCAGCAUGUUUCAAAAAAAUGUUACUUUCACAUGUGCGUGUCUGCCUAUCUUAGUAAUAGGUCGAUGGUUAUGGUUCAUUGCUCAUGAAUCAAUAGGGCUGUUUUGAUUUUGUGAAACGUGAGAGCACAUGUGCGUGUACCAUGUGUGUGGUCCUGUUUGUCUCUUUGUAUAUAAAUGUAUAUGUAUGUCUGUCCUGUUGUGUGUGUAUAAAUAUAUAUUUUGCACCGAAUGUACCAAAGGUUUGGGGCUUGCAAAGUCAACCAUUAGGCCUGCUCUCUAUUUCUGUCUAACAAACACAUCCCACUUCUGGCUUCUGCCAAAUCCUUACAGAGCAUCACCUCAUGUUUGCUUGAGGGGCAGAUUUGUGGCAUGGGCAACAACGCGUCACGUUAGGAUAUACAGUACAGUACAGUUUUAACGUUUUCCAUAAUGAGGCUUUUCUGCUGCAGAAGAUUGGUAAGAUUGAGUGCUUGCUUCACAUCCAAAUAAAGACAGGCUCCGGUUUUCAGAA